Molecule: long non-coding RNA, 1362 nt
Organism: Sceloporus undulatus (fence lizard)
Lineage: Eukaryota; Metazoa; Chordata; Lepidosauria; Squamata; Phrynosomatidae
Exons: 3
Source: RefSeq, a predicted model, not a curated record
GCUCCUCCCUUUGGGGGCUCAUGACGUCACGCGUGAAGUGAUAUCAUCCCGAGGGAAUUUGGAAGGAUGGGUCUCAGGCUGUUUGUUAAAUGGAGCUCCUCCUUUGGUUGGAAAAUGGCGGAGUAAGGCUUCGAGUGUUGGGCCCUGGAGGCCUGGGUUCGAAUCCCUGCUCAACCAUUAAGCCCAAUGGGUGACUUUAGUCAAGUCACACUCUCUCAGCCAUCCAUUCUGCCAUGCAGGAAUACACAGUCAAAGCACUCCUGGCAGAUGACCACUUGGCCUCUGUUUAAAAGCCUCCGAAGGAGGAGACUGCAUCACUCUCCAAGGAAGCUUAUUCCACUGCCAAAUUGGUCUCAGAAACCUCCUCCUAAUGUUGGAGUGGCAUCCCUGUCCCUUGAAUCCAUUGCUCCCUGCUCUCUUCUCUGGAGCUGCAGAAAAAAAGCUCGCUCCAUCUUCUUCGUGUCAAAAGGUUCCUUCUAAUGUUCAAUCCAGAUACACAUUCCUGGAACCUAAAACCAUGACACCUAUCUACCCUCUGAGGCAGCAGAAAACAAGCCGGCACCAUCCUCUCGGCGGCAGUUUUCUUUGCUCACAGACCGGCCGGCGUGUUGAAAUAUUUAUGCCAGCGUUGGCUGGGGUCUCUCUGGACCAGUUGCCAUGGAUGCCAAGGUGAGAGACGCCUCAGUCUCCCUUUGCGUUUCAAGAGAGAAGCCUAUGGCCCCCUGAGCCAGUGACUCUGCAUUUUGGCUGCAAAUGAUGUGCUUUCCAGAUAAAGAGACAGCAUGCUUUUUGCCCUAAAAAAAGGUCAGCAACCCUGCAGACAUAAAAGCAGUGUCUCAGGCCUCACUAGGUUUCUAGGACCAGGGAAUAGAUGGUUAUGCAGAUGAACCUAUUGCCAGAUUUGGUGUGGUCCAGGCACCAGUUUACCAACUCAAGGAAAGAAGCAGGGUCAAACCUGAAAGAAAGGAUGGUUUCAAAGAGGGCAGCACCUCUUAAUGGACACUUAGUGGCCAGUACCAUUGCUGGCGAGAACUUUCUGAUUUCAAUGAAGCAGAAAAGACAGAAAUAUUUGGGACCAGAAGUUAAUUUCAACUUUGCAGAAGGAAAUGUAAGAGACGUUUGCCGCCAUAUAUGCUUGCCUUUGGCUCAGAGAAGUUCUUCUCAAAGCAAGCAGUGAGUCGAUUUAGCUGUUUCCUUCCCGCUGCGAGAAAGUCUUCCAAAACUGUGCCUUUUCCAAAGUCAAUUUGCAAUUCCAGGCUUUCAUUAUAUUUUGCAAUAACAUCUUAUAUGUAACCUUCCAUAUGUGUUUUAAUUUGUAAGCUGCCCAUUUCUGGGAUACAAAUAAAUAGCACAGUUAAUGUA